UUUCUUUUUUUUUUUAAUGAAUUAAAAGUUUAAUUCUGAACCAUCUUUAUAACCGCAUCUGGUGAAGCAUUGUAUCACGGCAGGUUACAACAACUUUGGGAAAAGGCAACUGGUCUACUGUCCAAAACAAGAAGGCUCAAGUAACACCUCUUACUGAUUUACCCCACCGCACGUAUCCCCAAUAAAGUUCUUGUUCAAAAACAUGAAAUAGGUCCACCUGCUUAUUUUAAGCAUAUUAAAAAGGAAACUAAUCGGACCAUUUCUAUCUGUCUAUUUAUACAAAAGGCUACACAAUGUUACACGUCUCCAGAUUACAAUUAGCAUUGAUUAUGAAUUAGUGUUCUACACCAUUACUCAGUUCUUAGAAAUCAGAAAUUGCUGUAGCCGGUUCACUAGAACAUAACACUACGA
This 411-nucleotide long non-coding RNA is filed under the name Rattus norvegicus (Norway rat). RNAcentral's name for it is "long non-coding RNA NONRATT014739". Lineage: Eukaryota; Metazoa; Chordata; Mammalia; Rodentia; Muridae. The record is from RNAcentral.